This 300-nucleotide ribosomal RNA is filed under the name uncultured Archaeoglobus sp. RNAcentral describes it as "bacterial SSU rRNA". It matches the Rfam family "Bacterial small subunit ribosomal RNA", at positions 496 to 795 of the family's 1533-position model. The record is from RNAcentral. Lineage: Archaea; Methanobacteriati; Methanobacteriota; Archaeoglobi; Archaeoglobales; Archaeoglobaceae.
GCGAAGCGCGGGCCAGCGGCCGCGGGAAUUCUGAGGUGGCAAGCGUUAAUCGGAAUUACGGGGCGUAAAGCGUGCGCAGGCGGUUGUGCAAGACCGAUGUGAAAUCCCCGGGCUUAACCUGGGAACUGCAUUGGUGACUGCAAGGCUAGAGUAUGGCAGAGGGGGGUAGAAUUCCACGUGUAGCAGUGAAAUGCGUAGAGAUGUGGAGGAAUACCGAUGGCGAAGGCAGCCCCCUGGGCCAAUACUGACGCUCAUGCACGAAAGCGUGGGGAGCAAACAGGAUUAGAUACCCUUGUAGUC